Long non-coding RNA from Gavialis gangeticus (Gharial), 1697 nucleotides. RefSeq lists it as uncharacterized. The record is from RefSeq and is a predicted model, not a curated record. The transcript is spliced from 2 exons. NCBI's taxonomy places the organism in Eukaryota, Metazoa, Chordata, Crocodylia, Gavialidae.
UGUAACAUUCACAAGAACAUAAAUCCACAUCCACAAGAAAACUGGUUCAGUCCAGUUCCAAAAGUUUCAGCAAAACAAAGAAAUUUGAAUACAUCUCAUCAAAGUGUGACUAAAUGUAUACAAUGACUGUGCAUCUGUGGUUGUAAACCUGGGGAAUUUGGGGAAUAAUGGACCUGUGUUGUUGGGGGAACUCAACAACGAACAAGAGCUCAGAGAUCCCAGCGUCCAGCCUACAUCCAAAUAACUACAGAAGAGAACAAGCUUUGGAUCGAUAUUCUAUUUAACAGAAAGUGGCAAAACUAAAUAAGAAUGUCCUUAAAUGCAGUCAAAGCACUUCAAGCAGAUAAUGUCAAACACUCACGGCUGGCUCAGAAUACAAAGAGCUGGAGCAAUGCCAUCCAAAUCUUAAGUGAAUGAACAAAAUGGUGGGCUUUUGUCAUUAGGAUGGAAGAAAACCUGAUAGGGACUGGAGGACUAAGAAAAUCCCUGCCUAAAAGGUGUAUUUAACUGAAUGAAAAAAUGUAUUCAGAAAUUAAACAGCUAACCUUAAAUUCAUUGCUAACAUUCUGCACAAUCAAUCUAGUAGCCCUUUCCAACACCUCAGGUUUCUGAUUAUGGCAGUGCUUACUAGUCAUUUUGAUUUUAUAAUAUAAAUGGGUUCUGGUAUAUCAUGGACUGCAAAACAGUUCCCAGAGUUAAUCUGAAAGACAUUUUCUAAGAGUAUUUAGAACCAUGUUGAAACCCCCAAAUUUCCUUUCAGGUGUCCCAGACGCUCCACAAAGAAGACAGAGAUGUCUAGACAUACAUUUGGGGUAGGGAGUACAUAUGGGUAAGAGUCAGCAUUUAUUUUAAAGGAAAUUAGUGACUACUAUAGCCUUGGGAGUUUAUGAAUGUCAUCUAUAUUAUCUUGUUCUAUAAUAAAGUAGAUAAGUCACUUAACUAUAAAUGGUUAGUUUUGAUUUUGGGAUAAUGUGAGACUUGCCAAAAAUCAAGCUGAGUUAGACCUUGCAAUGGAAAUUAAAAAUAAAGAGUAAGAGAACCGUUAGUCAUCUAACCAAAAAGAGAACAAGGAAAGAAGUGAAGUGGGUCUAAGUAAUGUCCAGAAACAGAAUGAAUAUUUUUAGUUAAGUUUUCAAGAAAGAUGUUAAGGAUAAUGAGCAAAAGCAGGAUGGCUAAUGGCAAUCUUUGAUAACCCUUUUUUUUUAAGACAACAAAAAUUCAGGAUGAGGAUUUGUGAAAGAAUUGUAAAUGGGUAAGGCAAUCGCUAAAGGAGAGAUAACGGGAUUGUGCCAGAAAAGGAAUUUUUGGAUUAAAGGAAGAUAGUGGAUUUCCACAAGGAUUGAUUCUGGAACUGAUUUUAUAAAAUAUUUCCAUUAAUGACCCUGGUGCAAAAAACUGAAGUGUGCUAAUGAAAUUUGCUGAAAAGACAGAGGAAGAGGCAUCGUUAAUAAAUAAGACUACUGAAGUAUCAUGCAGGAGGAACUAAAUGACCCUGGAGCUAUAUAAAUUGAGAGAGAUGUAAUAGUACAAAGUCAUGCCCUUACGGAUUAACAAUAAUUUACACUAUAUGCUGGGAGCUCACCAGUUGGAAAAGAUGCAGAAGGAAAAAACCUUGUUGGAGUAGUGAGUCCAAGGAUAACUAUGAGUCACAAACAUGAUAUGGCUUAAAAAGCUAAACAUAAUGCCUCGACAAAUAU